UUAUUGACGACUCUUCCAAAUACAAACGCGAAGACUUUACGAACCAAUUUCUUAAUAUCACAAUUGCAUUAACGCUUCUCUAACUACGCUAAAGUCUGUUUAUUGGAAGGACUAUUCCUUAGUUUGAAAUAAAGAAAUUUUUUGGAAAUUGAAUAAUGGAUAAACAUUAUAUCAAAAGUCAUGUGCUGUUAUAGAUCAUAAUGGAUAUAUAUUUUGUCUUGUGGGACAUUUUGGUGGACAUACUUGUAAUUUUUAUUAUAAUCAAUAUAAACCCAGAGUUGAUAUUAACUCUAACUAUACAAUGUAUAUCAAUGAAUAUGCUAUUAAAAAUCAAUUGUUUCAUUUUUAAA
Xenia sp. Carnegie-2017 is the source of this 350-nucleotide long non-coding RNA. RefSeq lists it as uncharacterized. Lineage: Eukaryota; Metazoa; Cnidaria; Anthozoa; Malacalcyonacea; Xeniidae. The record is from RefSeq and is a predicted model, not a curated record. The transcript has 2 exons.